This 503-nucleotide ribosomal RNA is filed under the name uncultured bacterium. RNAcentral's name for it is "partial 16S ribosomal RNA". It matches the Rfam family "Bacterial small subunit ribosomal RNA", at positions 30 to 523 of the family's 1533-position model. The record is from RNAcentral.
AUUGAACGCUGGCGGCAGGCUUAACACAUGCAAGUCGAGCGGGGUGAUGGUGCUUGCACUAUCACUUAGCGGCGGACGGGUGAGUAAUGCUUAGGAAUCUGCCUAUUAGUGGGGGACAACAUCUCGAAAGGGAUGCUAAUACCGCAUACGUCCUACGGGAGAAAGCAGGGGAUCACUUGUGACCUUGCGCUAAUAGAUGAGUCUAAGUCGGAUUAGCUAGUUGGUGGGGUAAAGGCCUACCAAGGCGACGAUCUGUAGCGGGUGUGAGAGGAUGAUCCGCCACACUGGGACUGAGACACGGCCCAGACUCCUACGGGAGGCAGCAGUGGGGAAUAUUGGACAAUGGGGGGAACCCUGAUCCAGCCAUGCCGCGUGUGUGAAGAAGGCCUUAUGGUUGUAAAGCACUUUAAGCGAGGAGGAGGCUCUUUUGGUUAAUACCCAAGAUGAGUGGACGUUACUCGCAGAAUAAGCACCGGCUAACUCUGUGCCAGCAGCCGCAGUAA